Long non-coding RNA from Oncorhynchus tshawytscha (Chinook salmon), 1570 nucleotides. NCBI's taxonomy places the organism in Eukaryota, Metazoa, Chordata, Actinopteri, Salmoniformes, Salmonidae. The record is from Ensembl.
GCGUACACACACAUGCACGCACGCACACACGCACACACACACACGCACACACACACACACACAAACACACACACACACACCACUGGGACACCAGAGCUGAGAGGCCAGGGCAGGGGGACACUUGACGUCUGGACUGACAGAACCACAGUAAGGGAGGACAGGACCCUCGGUAUCUAACCAGGGGGUGAAACAACACCCCUAAGGACAGCGUCAGGGGAGCAGAGCUAUCCAUAGGGUUCAAAGUUGGGGGUAGGGCUGGCUGGGCGGAGGGAAGGAGAGGUGGAGUGAAGGGUGUAGGGAGGAAAUGUUAGGAACAGGAGGAGCCCUGUCUGUGUCCGGAGGGAAAGGGAAGACAGCGCUGCCCGGCCUGGCCACAGACACAGCUGGUUCCUGCCAGAGGAAGCCCCAACGGAGGCCGAGGCCUGGUGUCUACCGCUAUCACAACCCAGCAGCACUGUUUACCUUCCCCUGGGGAACCACCCCUUUCACACGGCGGGGUCAGGACACACACACCCACACUGUUACAGUUGCACUCAGUCCUGGCUCACACGGGCGCCACUGCUCUGCUUUCACUGUGUGGACUAGAGGAGGGUUCAGGCCAGUGCACUGCCCCUCAGCCGGAACAACGAGGAAACGAGGAGCCACGAGGCUAGCUGACCUCCCCCUGCCACUCACACACACACACACUGUUACCUCACACACUCCUGUUGAGUGAGUCGGAGAAAGAGAAGGGGAGAGAGAGACUACUGGGUGGAGAGAAAGAGUAUCGGACACAGAUAAUUACACAAGUCUGGUGGCGCCGCGAUCCAUCUGAGGUGACGUGUCGUGGACGGGAAGAAAGUACGAGGUAAAGGAAGAGUCAUUUGAAGGCUGUUAGCUGCAUAAAGUAAAAAGGAAGGGGAACUUUAAAGAAAGUCUUGUUCGAGUGGGAGGAAGAAGAAGUCGAGUACAAAAAGACAUCUCUCUGUCUGGCAGCCAUGUGAUCUGGCUGUGCUGGGCUCAUGUUCUAAUCAUGAGAGCAAGAGGACUCACUCUGUGAUCUCCCCAGGCCUGGAUGAGUCAGUCAGUCAGUGGGUUAGUCAGUCAGUCAGUCAGUCUGUCAGUCGGUAAGCACCCUAAGCACACAGGAGAAAGGACAUCAACCCUCCGGUCUACACACAGAGAAAGUUACUUGUGUGGUUUAGUGUGUCCCCUGUCCAGCCGAGAGUUCUAGAAACACACAGAGGACAGGACAACGUUGUGGAUUACUGCUGUGGGGAGGGGGGAUGCAGAGUAUGGCCGCCGAGGUCCACCUGGAGCGGCAGAGGAGGUCUGACCUACGGAGAGCCUCAACCUCAGCCUCCACCUCGGCCAAUUUGACCGCUCCUCCCAGGGUUCCCACGGUGAUGCUGACCAGUCACAGGGGGACGCUGUGCAGACGGAACCCUCACAGGCUGGAAUCUGGCAACCCCAACCUGGCAACCAGGAGCCACCGCACAGCCAACCAAGCUUCUGGCCAUGAUGAAGAGUGCAGCAGCUGAGAAAUCCAUAAUCUUAGACAGACACCCAGGCAGACCUGAGAGGAGAGCAG